RNAcentral lists this unclassified non-coding RNA (137 nucleotides) under rhizosphere metagenome. RNAcentral's name for it is "partial ribosomal RNA internal transcribed spacer region". The record is from RNAcentral.
GAACGCCCUCACGGGCUUAACUAUCCAACCAACCUCUGUGAAUCGUCGCCUUAGGGCGCUCUAUAACAAACUAUAACAGUCAUGAACGUCGUAUACAAAAACUAAACACAACUUUCAACAACGGAUCUCUUGGCUCU